This 463-nucleotide ribosomal RNA is filed under the name Vreelandella stevensii. Its description in RNAcentral is "partial 16S ribosomal RNA". It matches the Rfam family "Bacterial small subunit ribosomal RNA", at positions 338 to 791 of the family's 1533-position model. The record is from RNAcentral. Lineage: Bacteria; Pseudomonadati; Pseudomonadota; Gammaproteobacteria; Oceanospirillales; Halomonadaceae.
CCUACGGGGGGCAGCAGUGGGGAAUAUUGGACAAUGGGCGAAAGCCUGAUCCAGCCAUGCCGCGUGUGUGAAGAAGGCCUUCGGGUUGUAAAGCACUUUCAGUGGGGAAGAAAGCCUUGGGGCUAAUACCCUCGAGGAAGGACAUCACCCACAGAAGAAGCACCGGCUAACUCCGUGCCAGCAGCCGCGGUAAUACGGAGGGUGCGAGCGUUAAUCGGAAUUACUGGGCGUAAAGCGCGCGUAGGCGGUCUGAUAAGCCGGUUGUGAAAGCCCCGGGCUCAACCUGGGAACGGCAUCCGGAACUGUCAGGCUAGAGUGCAGGAGAGGAAGGUAGAAUUCACGGUGUAGCGGUGAAAUGCGUAGAGAUCGGGAGGAAUACCAGUGGCGAAGGCGGCCUUCUGGACUGACACUGACGCUGAGGUGCGAAAGCGUGGGUAGCAAACAGGAUUAGAUACCCCUUGGC